This is a long non-coding RNA of Periophthalmus magnuspinnatus, 671 nucleotides long. RefSeq lists it as uncharacterized. The transcript has 3 exons. NCBI's taxonomy places the organism in Eukaryota, Metazoa, Chordata, Actinopteri, Gobiiformes, Gobiidae. The record is from RefSeq and is a predicted model, not a curated record.
GGACAAGGACACAUGACGCUCGUGUUUUGGACUCAGUCAUCCUCUGUCUACAGGCAACACACACACACACAGCUAGCAUCCAUCAAACGCAUCUGCCCGUCUUCACACCUGCUCGCAAAGCAUCAUGGGAAAAGGCGCAGGGGAGGAGUGGGAGGAGAAGUAUCCGGAGGACGACAACCACUCCGACGUGGUUGAUUCCCAGCCCAAAAAGUCCAAGAAGAAGGAUAAGGAAGAGUCCAAAGGGGGAUGUCCCAAGUGCUGUCUGAAGACCAGGGACUGUCUCAUGAGCCCGGAGUGUGGACGAGCGCUGCAGAUCUCCCAAGUGGUGGCCAUGUGCGGGAUGUGUCUGCGCUGGUGUUUCUAAUCUAAUCUCGGAUGGGGUCAACUCAUCUCCACGCGUUGCCAUGGUGAUCAGGAGGAAGAAACUCAACCUUCAGCCCUAUUUACGAACAUGAUUAAUACAAGCGUCAAAUUGACUUAUUUUUUCACACGGUAUUUAUUUCAUUUGGUUAUCUAAGCCGCUCUGUACAGUGUAAGUAGGACUAACCCGACGAAGGAACAAUCUAGUAUUGGUGAAUUAGUGGCAUGUUCCAACUUUGACUCAUUGAUGUUACCUGAACAAAUGUACAUAGUGUUUUAUAGACUUUAAUAAAAUGAUUAUACUUAAAGAA